GCAAACUGCGCGUCGCCGUGUGAACUGCAGGACACAUGAUCAUCGACAAGUUGAACGCAUAUUGCACCUUAUACAUUUUGGUUUAUUCAUUAAAAUGUAAUCACAUUGUGAACGAACCUGUAUAAGGUACAUAUGGUUGAGUGUCGUGAGUUUUUAUGCAAUAAAAAUGAGUACGUCGUUUACACGUACGCAUAUAUUAAUGUGCCGUUAAAGACUUUAGUUGUGCUUUACGCACAACAGCAAAAGAUUUACGGUGAAGAUGCUAUUUUUGUGGUUUCCGCCUCAGUUUUUUGUCUCUACAUUUGAUAAAAAUGGUGUAUAUGAGUAAUAACAACACAUAUAUUUCAAGAGUAGAAAAAUAAUGGGCGAGCUAACUCUACAUGUGCUCCUCGUACUCGUAGAUAAUACAGUUUAGUCUCGUCUAUAUGAUUAUUUUUCUUUAAUCAUCUCCUGAAAUGUUGUUGUUCAUAUGGUAUACACGAGAGAGUGCGUGAGUAAAAUUAACCAAAUCCCCUCAAUAUAGAUAGAAGGAAUAUUAUUUCCGCGCGACCUCAACUCAUGUGUGG
Molecule: ribosomal RNA, 566 nt
Filed under: Chironomidae sp. 3 SK-2011
Lineage: Eukaryota; Metazoa; Arthropoda; Insecta; Diptera; Chironomidae
Description: eukaryotic LSU rRNA
Rfam family: 5.8S ribosomal RNA (bases 1-146)
Source: RNAcentral